Molecule: ribosomal RNA, 28 nt
Filed under: Platanus mexicana var. interior
Lineage: Eukaryota; Viridiplantae; Streptophyta; Magnoliopsida; Proteales; Platanaceae
Source: RNAcentral
CUCCCGGGAAGUCUUGGUGUUGCACCCC